RNAcentral lists this transfer RNA (72 nucleotides) under Ramularia collo-cygni. It matches the Rfam family "tRNA". Rfam says of the family: Transfer RNA (tRNA) molecules are approximately 80 nucleotides in length. Their secondary structure includes four short double-helical elements and three loops (D, anti-codon, and T loops). Lineage: Eukaryota; Fungi; Ascomycota; Dothideomycetes; Mycosphaerellales; Mycosphaerellaceae. The record is from RNAcentral.
UCCAAAUUGGUGUAUCGGCUAGCAUCACCCGCUUUCACCGGGUAGAGCCGGGUUCGACUCCCGGAUUUGGAA